This 495-nucleotide ribosomal RNA is filed under the name uncultured bacterium. Its description in RNAcentral is "partial 16S ribosomal RNA". It matches the Rfam family "Bacterial small subunit ribosomal RNA", at positions 28 to 507 of the family's 1533-position model. The record is from RNAcentral.
GACGAACGCUGGCGGCGUGCCUAAUACAUGCAAGUAGAACGCUGAAGGAGGAGCUUGCUUCUCCGGAUGAGUUGCGAACGGGUGAGUAACGCGUAGGUAACCUGCCUGGUAGCGGGGGAUAACUAUUGGAAACGAUAGCUAAUACCGCAUAAGAGUAGAUGUCGCAUGACAUUUGCUUAAAAGGUGCAACUGCACCACUACCAGAUGGACCUGCGUUGUAUUAGCUAGUUGGUGAGGUAACGGCUCACCAAGGCAACGAUACAUAGCCGACCUGAGAGGGUGAUCGGCCACACUGGGACUGAGACACGGCCCAGACUCCUACGGGAGGCAGCAGUAGGGAAUCUUCGGCAAUGGACGGAAGUCUGACCGAGCAACGCCGCGGGAGUGAAGAAGGUUUUCGGAUCGUAAAGCUCUGUUGUAAGAGAAGAACGAGGGUGAGAGUGGAAAGUUCACACUGUGGCGGUAUCUUACCAGAAAGGGACGGCUAACUACGUG